Molecule: transfer RNA, 75 nt
Filed under: Methylomirabilis sp. (SeqCode)
Lineage: Bacteria; Methylomirabilota (SeqCode); Methylomirabilia (SeqCode); Methylomirabilales (SeqCode); Methylomirabilaceae (SeqCode)
Description: tRNA-Glu
Rfam family: tRNA
About the family: Transfer RNA (tRNA) molecules are approximately 80 nucleotides in length.
Source: RNAcentral
GGCCCUAUCGUCUAGCCCGGCCUAGGACGCGGCCCUCUCAAGGCUGAAACUCGGGUUCGAAUCCCGAUAGGGCCA